This is a long non-coding RNA of Oreochromis niloticus (Nile tilapia), 699 nucleotides long. RefSeq lists it as uncharacterized. The record is from RefSeq and is a predicted model, not a curated record. The transcript has 3 exons. NCBI's taxonomy places the organism in Eukaryota, Metazoa, Chordata, Actinopteri, Cichliformes, Cichlidae.
CUACAAACUUAACAAACCAAAUGACUGCUCAAACAAACAUAAUUGACCUAAACAUGAAAUGACACACAGGGGUAUAUAUAAUGGCUGAUCAGACCAUUGUGACACAUGAGGGGUGACAAACAAACACAAUCAUAAAUCACAAAACAAUGCAGUACAUUCUAAUUUGUUAAUAAAGUAAACACUAAAGAAGAAAAUCAAAACCAUCAAACCCUAAACCCAAAUAUUUAAUUAAAUACAAAUACUUUGUUUUUAAAGUAAAGAAAACAUAUUCUCCCCUUUAGCAGGAAGUGGUGGUGUGGUCCAAUUAUCCCUCUUUUGCAUAUAAUGGUUUCAAACCCUGGCUACCAUCUUUUGUCCAGCAACUCCCAGGGAUGAUGGCGGUAAGAAAGAAAAAGACAAAGCUAAUAGAGACGUACGAAACACCAUCAUCAUCUUCAUUCUUCACAGUGAAGACAACAUAAUGACUGCUCAGUAAUAUGUGGAUUUAUAACAGAUGAAGCCCCAGCUCUGCUAACAAGCGCUCAAACUGCCUCACUGACAUCCUGGAAUGUGGAUGAAUAUGAUGCAGCUCCGAGUUGUGGAUAAAACCACGAAAUUCUCCCUGCUGCUGCCUGCGUGUGAGAACUGGAUGAACCCAGACUCUCCAUUUCUUCCAUUUGUUGUUUAAAAACAUGCAGACGAGCUCAUCAUCACUUCAUU